GUCUUUUAGCCCAUUUGGUCUAUCAUCAAAAAGAAAGGAAAGAGAAAAGACCAAGCCAAAAGAAGAGUAAUUAAUUUUUGAAGACAUGGAAAUCAAAAGAGAUAGAGAAGCCCCACAACUGUAGUAUUUAGAAAACUUUAUAUUUUCCCAAUUGGAACUAUAUAUGAAUGUUUUAGCUAAGUCUCAGCACCAAAAUUUUCCCCGGUUUUAAAUACGCUGCAGUGCCUAUGCAUUAACAAUAUAAGUUGGUAAUGGGAGAAGAAGAAGAAAAGAAAGAAGGAGUCACUAGUUCCGGCAAUCAUGUGGCUUUAGAAGUUGAAGCUCCUGAAACUCAUCAUCAGAUUGGCCAAGGUCCAUCUCCCUGCACGUGCAUGCUCCUCUCUUGUUUUCCGACCCUCUUUUUUCUAAUUGGCAUUUGUUUCAUCAGACUGACAAAUACUCAAACUAAUCGACAAUGAUUCAUUCAUUCAAGUGGGAGUUCUUUUGUGUACUGGUUUGAACAGUGCUUACGCGCUUGGAUAUGCUGGUGUAACCAUGAUACCUUUGGGAUGGAUUGGAGGUGUGAUUGGUUUGAUGUUAGAAGCAGUGAUAUCAUUAUAUGCUAAUGCUCUAAUUGCCAAGAUUCAUGAAUAUGGGGGAAAGAGGCAUAUCAGAUAUAGAGACCUUGCUGGAUUCAUAUAUGGUCAGAAAGCUUAUGUAGUUGUUUGGGGAUUACAGUAUGCAAAUCUAUUCUUGAUAAAUAUUGGAUAUAUCAUUUUGGGUGGACAGGCAUUGAAGGUAAGAUAUUCUGCAUUGUGAGAACAUAUUAAUCAUAAAUUGACUUAUUUUAGGUUAAUGGAAAAUCUAUUGCACC
Nicotiana tabacum (common tobacco) is the source of this 853-nucleotide non-coding RNA. The record is from RefSeq and is a predicted model, not a curated record. Lineage: Eukaryota; Viridiplantae; Streptophyta; Magnoliopsida; Solanales; Solanaceae.